This 253-nucleotide ribosomal RNA is filed under the name uncultured bacterium. RNAcentral describes it as "partial 16S ribosomal RNA". It matches the Rfam family "Bacterial small subunit ribosomal RNA", at positions 524 to 776 of the family's 1533-position model. The record is from RNAcentral.
UACGUAGGUGGCAAGCGUUGUCCGGAUUUAUUGGGUUUAAAGGGUGCGUAGGCGGCUUUUUAAGUCAGUGGUGAAAGCUGAUCGCUUAACGAUCGAACUGCCAUUGGUACUGAGAGGCUUGAGUAUAGUUGAGGUAGGCGGAAUUGACAGUGUAGCGGUGAAAUGCAUAGAUAUUGUCAAGAACACCAAUUGCGAAGGCAGCUUACUAAAGUAUAACUGACGCUGAGGCGCGAAAGCGCGGGGAUCAAACAGG